Molecule: transfer RNA, 74 nt
Filed under: Comamonas testosteroni
Lineage: Bacteria; Pseudomonadati; Pseudomonadota; Betaproteobacteria; Burkholderiales; Comamonadaceae
Also listed under: 133 other names
Description: tRNA-Cys(gca)
Rfam family: tRNA
About the family: Transfer RNA (tRNA) molecules are approximately 80 nucleotides in length. Their secondary structure includes four short double-helical elements and three loops (D, anti-codon, and T loops). Further hydrogen bonds mediate the characteristic L-shaped molecular structure. tRNAs have two regions of fundamental functional importance: the anti-codon, which is responsible for specific mRNA codon recognition, and the 3' end, to which the tRNAs corresponding amino acid is attached (by aminoacyl-tRNA synthetases). tRNAs cope with the degeneracy of the genetic code in two manners: having more than one tRNA (with a specific anti-codon) for a particular amino acid; and 'wobble' base-pairing, i.e. permitting non-standard base-pairing at the 3rd anti-codon position.
Source: RNAcentral
GGCGCGAUAGCAAAGCGGUUAUGCCCCGGAUUGCAAAUCCGGUUAGACCAGUUCGACUCUGGUUCGCGCCUCCA